Molecule: long non-coding RNA, 1188 nt
Organism: Dermacentor andersoni
Lineage: Eukaryota; Metazoa; Arthropoda; Arachnida; Ixodida; Ixodidae
Source: RefSeq, a predicted model, not a curated record
CAGCUAGAUGCGGCACUUUCCUGCUUAGUGGAUCUACUGGCAACAAUUGUGUAAUGCUUGACGGUCACAUUAUUCUUGUGCAGAAGUUUUGCUAUCUGAAAGCAUCAAACGAAGUUUGCAUUGUUGGACAAGAAUUUAAUCUCAGAGAAGACUUUUACACAUCACCCUUUGAGUCCUCACGAAUAGGAAUUUUUUUGGUCUCCACUCUGUCAAGGAAUAAGGUGUGGCCUCUAAGGAAUCCGAAGAAAAUGUUGUUGCUGCCUCACGCCAGCCAGUACAUAGUUCUUCCAGAGAUCCACACCAACUGAAUUGCGUAAUUCGUGUGCUUGUUUUCAUUUUACCAGUGGGUCUGCGUAACACUUGCCUUUCAGUUUUGUAAUCAACGCUUCAUUUAAUUUGAUGUUUCUGUUUCCUGUGAAGAAAAAGUGGUCUAUGUUCAUGCGAAGUUCUGUUUCCAGAUGGCUUAUGCAAUUGUCGAUUUUAUUGGUCGAAAAGAGGUAGAGGUUGUGCCAUCCUCAUGGAUCUCGGACGACAUAUGCAUGUGGCCUAAAGUACCAUUGGACCGACUGACAUCUAUGAUAAGAAAAAACAUCCAUGUUCCUACUUGCCACCAUGGCAAGGAUACGAGGUCCAGGUGAAGGGGCUGUUUGGAUCAUAUGAUGAAGCGCGCAGGAAGUUGGACAAGUCGCAGUACACUUCAGACCUCGGGAGCGACUCUGAACCGCCGCAAAAAAGAAGAAGAACCCCAGCUGUUGUGUGGGAACCUUGCCAGUCGUCUGACAGCCAGCACUCUGAAGAUUUGCCACCGCCACCAGCGCCAGUGAACUUUCCCCAGGCUGCCUUCCCUGCAUCGCCUUGCUCACCUGCAUCGGUUGUGUCACCUCUGCCAGUGGCCUCACCCAUGCCAGCAGCCUCGCCUCUGCCAGUUACGUCAUGUGUGCCAGCUGCCCCACCUUUGCCAGCCAUACCGCCAGUGCCAGCCGUAACACCAGUGCCAGUUGCACCACCUUUGCCAGCUGCUUUGCCUGCCCCAGUCACAUUACCACCACAUGGUAAGCUGAACUACACAGUAUUUUUUUAGGGGCUACACUUCUGUGCGAUUAAAUUUAUUUGUGAAUCUCAACAGGACAAAAAAAAUUAAUGUUUGUACAGCAUGUAGCUGCGUCUGCUGCGCAUGGCCUCCGGUAU